GACGAACGCUGGCGGCGUGCUUAACACAUGCAAGUGGAGCGACGAACCAGGCUUCGGCCUGGGGCAGAGCCGCGAACGGGUGAGUAACACGUGGGUAACGUGCCCCAAUGACUGGGACAACCCGAGGAAACUCGGGCUAAUACCGGAUAUGCCCCCUCACGAGAGUGAGGUGUGUAAAGGAAGCUUCGGCCUCCGCAUUGGGAUCGGCCCGCGGCGCAUUAGCUUGGUUGGUGGGGUAACGGCCACCAAGGCAACGAUGCGUAGCUGGUCUGAGAGGACGAUCAGCCACACUGGGACUGAGACACGGCCCAGACUCCUACGGGAGGCAGCAGUGGGGAAUCUUGCGCAAUGCGCGAAAGCGUGACGCAGCAACGCCGCGUGGGGAAGACGGCCU
RNAcentral lists this ribosomal RNA (394 nucleotides) under uncultured bacterium. Its description in RNAcentral is "bacterial SSU rRNA". It matches the Rfam family "Bacterial small subunit ribosomal RNA", at positions 28 to 417 of the family's 1533-position model. The record is from RNAcentral.